Molecule: long non-coding RNA, 394 nt
Filed under: Mytilus galloprovincialis (Mediterranean mussel)
Lineage: Eukaryota; Metazoa; Mollusca; Bivalvia; Mytilida; Mytilidae
Source: RNAcentral
GUCGUGAUUUCCAAUGCCAAAAAAUCUCUUUAACACAAAUAAAGGUGAUAAAUCUUCAUUUUGGCCUUUUCUGUGUGAACUAGUACGAUAAACAAUCGACUCAGCAUUUCAGUCUUGUACAAAGCAGGAUUGAUAAUAAAAUUCUAUAAACAUGUUUUCAACCCAAAUAUGCAUAUAAUUCACCACUGCAUCCUCCUCCUUGAAUCUCUUGCUUUGAAUUGUUUUGAAAAAUUCUGCCGAAGCCGAAGCACAACCCUUGAUGGGUUACUUCCUUUGAUAUUCAUUAAUACCUUUUUGUUCAUCGUAUCGGAAAUUUGAAAAAAAUAGGAGAGAGACGAGAAGUGUCUAUAAGUUUUUUAGCAGACCAAUGGGAGUAUGUUUCUUAAAAUUGAAC